RNAcentral lists this ribosomal RNA (254 nucleotides) under uncultured bacterium. RNAcentral describes it as "partial 16S ribosomal RNA". It matches the Rfam family "Bacterial small subunit ribosomal RNA", at positions 524 to 776 of the family's 1533-position model. The record is from RNAcentral.
UACGAAGGGGGCUAGCGUUGUUCGGAAUUACUGGGCGUAAAGCGCGCGUAGGCGGCUUUGCAAGCCAGAGGUGAAAUGCCUGAGCUCAACUUGGGAAUUGCCUUUGGGACUGUGAGGCUUUGAGGACUGGAGAGGUGAGUGGAAUUCCCAGUGUAGAGGUGAAAUUCGUAGAUAUUGGGAAGAACACCGGUGGCGAAGGCGGCUCACGGGCCAGUUUUUGACGCUGCAGCGCGAAAGCGUGGGGAUCAAACAGG